Molecule: small nucleolar RNA, 138 nt
Organism: Ornithorhynchus anatinus (platypus)
Lineage: Eukaryota; Metazoa; Chordata; Mammalia; Monotremata; Ornithorhynchidae
Source: RefSeq, a predicted model, not a curated record
CUCCUCUCAGGGUCGCGCCUGGAGAGUUUCCGGUCCUCUACCGGUCCCGGCUUCGGGAAGGAGAGUCAAGCAGAGGCCUGCCCGUUCCCUUCCUAGCUUGGGCAGUGGCUAGCGAGGGGAAGGCCAUCUGCUACAAGU